UCGUAGCUCAGUUGGUUAGAGCUUGGGUCUGAUAAACCCAAGGUCGUGGGUUCGAUCCCCACCG
RNAcentral lists this transfer RNA (64 nucleotides) under Asterionellopsis glacialis. It matches the Rfam family "tRNA", at positions 6 to 65 of the family's 71-position model. From Rfam's summary of the family: Transfer RNA (tRNA) molecules are approximately 80 nucleotides in length. Their secondary structure includes four short double-helical elements and three loops (D, anti-codon, and T loops). Further hydrogen bonds mediate the characteristic L-shaped molecular structure. tRNAs have two regions of fundamental functional importance: the anti-codon, which is responsible for specific mRNA codon recognition, and the 3' end, to which the tRNAs corresponding amino acid is attached (by aminoacyl-tRNA synthetases). tRNAs cope with the degeneracy of the genetic code in two manners: having more than one tRNA (with a specific anti-codon) for a particular amino acid; and 'wobble' base-pairing, i.e. permitting non-standard base-pairing at the 3rd anti-codon position. The record is from RNAcentral. Lineage: Eukaryota; Bacillariophyta; Plagiogrammaphyceae; Rhaphoneidales; Asterionellopsidaceae.